AUGAACGCUGGCGGCGUGCCUAAUACAUGCAGGUCGAGCGAACAGAUGAGGAGCUUGCUCCUCUGACGUUAGCGGCGGACGGGUGAGUAUCACGUGGAUAACCUACCUAUAAGACUGGGAUAACUUCGGGAAACCGGAGCUAAUACCGGAUAAUAUAUUGAACCGCAUGGUUCAAUAGUGAAAGACGGUUUUGCUGUCACUUAUAGAUGGAUCCGCGCCGCAUUAGCUAGUUGGUAAGGUAACGGCUUACCAAGGCAACGAUGCGUAGCCGACCUGAGAGGGUGAUCGGCCACACUGGAACUGAGACACGGUCCAGACUCCUACGGGAGGCAGCAGUAGGGAAUCUUCCGCAAUGGGCGAAAGCCUGACGGAGCAACGCCGCGUGAGUGAUGAAGGUCUUCGGAUCGUAAAACUCUGUUAUUAGGGAAGAACAAAUGUGUAAGUAACUAUGCACGUCUUGACGGUACCUAAUCAGAAAGCCACGGCUAACUACGUG
Molecule: ribosomal RNA, 496 nt
Filed under: uncultured bacterium
Lineage: Bacteria
Description: partial 16S ribosomal RNA
Rfam family: Bacterial small subunit ribosomal RNA
Source: RNAcentral